GGCAAGGAAAACAACUCUUUUACACCGGAGCCAAGCAAACCAGUUUUGUGGCAAUUUGACAGACAUUUAACCGUAUAUAUAUUUGGUUGGCUGGUCAAGAAUUUGCCAGAAAUUUUGACUAUUCUCACUAUGGAAGGAUAUCUCCCUGAUAAGGGAACAUAGGGGGCAGCAGCUGCGCCUCCCAAAUGUCUGGCACUAGGAAACAACAUGGGCAUAGUGGUGUCCAGAGUGACUAACUGUCGUGUAGAACCAUCCAGAAAACGCAGCAGCGCCUUGCAACCAAAAAACAACACCCCCUACAGGAAGGUCAAUGGUACUAUCAAAUCAUCCCAAUGUAACACACUGACUCCAGUGCAGAGACAUACCCAAGGUAGGUUAUCAGCCCAUAUUAGAUCAAGUGGAUAUAAGAUUAAGUAUAAAUGCGGAUUUAAAGUUGUGACUGGAGUUAUCAUGAGGGGAUUUAUGAUCAAAGGACCACAAUCUGGGCCUCCCGAGUGGUACAGCGGUCUAGAGCACUGCAUCGCAAUGCUAGAUGCGUUACUACAGACCUGGGUUCAUUCCCGGGAUGUGCCACGACCGGCCGUGGACGGGAGUCCUAUAGGACGGCACACAAUUGUCCGGGCGAGGGGAGGGUUUGGCCGAUGGGGCUUUACUUGGCUCAUCAUCAUCACGCUCUAGCGACUCCUUGUGGCGGGCCGGGUACCUGCAAGCUGAACCCAGUCGCCAGUUGAACAUUGUUUCCAAUAUGCAUUUCGGCUCUGUGUGUAUGAUUUUCUCUGAUGUGUGUGUGCGAGCGCAGGUACAUGUGUGUGUGCAUACUGUUGUCCAGUAGUGUGUGAGCCUGAGGUGCAGGAGGUGUUAAUUCCUACCUUCCCAGAGAGGGUAAGUGUGCAGAGAGGCUACAUCACCCCCCAGCAGGUAUAUAACCUGUUGAACGCAGAGGCUGGACAUCCCGCUCUACAUGAUCCGAAUUACAUCCUCAUCCUGGACUGUCGCAGUGCAGAGAGGUGGGAGCACUCACGCAACACAACUUCAGAACACAAACAUGCACAUCCAAUGUAGCCACUUGAUCACUACACCUCACAGACUUGUUGUAGAUAUGUGGAAGUAGUGUAGGGGCCUGAGGGCACAGUC
This is a long non-coding RNA of Oncorhynchus tshawytscha (Chinook salmon), 1134 nucleotides long. NCBI's taxonomy places the organism in Eukaryota, Metazoa, Chordata, Actinopteri, Salmoniformes, Salmonidae. The record is from Ensembl.